GAGAAGAAAAAGAAAAAGAAGAGAUUUUUGUGUUGUAUCAUCUCACUUUUAUUGGCAUUUAUUCCUGAUUCUCAUUCUCAUUAUGAUUAUGGUUAUGAUUCGACGACGACGAUAUCAGCAGCAACGACAACAACAACAACGAUAUCACCAAUGCUAGUAUCAUUCUCUAUCUUUUUAGUAUCAUUUGUAGGUUGUGGUAUCUAUGUGACAUGUGGUAGUGGUAGCGGUAGUACUCCAAUGUGUCGUUCAACAACCACCACCAAUAAUUAUUAUCAUUGGAUGAUUGGAUUCUUAUUUAUCACACUACCAUUUCGUGCA
Molecule: non-coding RNA, 318 nt
Filed under: Fragilariopsis kerguelensis
Lineage: Eukaryota; Bacillariophyta; Bacillariophyceae; Bacillariales; Bacillariaceae
Source: RNAcentral